GCAGCAGAAGAAUACAUAACAGAUUUUGGGGUCAUCACCCGGGAGGAUUCAAUCACACACACCAGAACCCUCAAUUACCUUCAUCCCCAUCACGCCCUACUUUCUUCUUCCAUUUUUUUUUUUUUACACGACCCAACGACACCCCUUUGGAACCACCUCCAANAGAACCAUCACUCACAAAUGCCAUCACCCUCACUACACCUCAUGACCCAACAGAAUUGAUGACCCAAGAGAAUUGAUCACACACACGACACCACCCUUUUUGGGCUCACCACCUACACCAUGCUUCAACACGGUGACCACCCAACAGAUUCGUCUGGGGACAACACAUUCUCAAUCACGAACCACUUCCCCUACUCAAAACCUUUCCCAAUUCACCACUGACAAUUGACCAUGGCUUCCUAUACCCAUCAUCUUCAUCCAUAACCUUUGGGCAUCAAGUCCUUUUGUCAUCAUCAUCAACCCUUUCCUCUNAAAUUUCAGCUCAUCAACUCAGAAUACCUUUCUUACCUAAUCAAGGCAACCCCAAUUCGUUCCCCAUAAUUCCUCCAUUCACUCUCACAGAAAACGCCUUCUACGAUCCCUUUUGCUGGCCACCACCUCCUCCAUCAUAGAACACAGAAGCAGAGAACCAAUCACGCACANAUUCUCUCCUCCAUCUUCUUCGACACCUGAAAAAACANAGAAAUUCAUUCACUACCUCCAUCACCUUUUCCAUCACCCUCAUACCGAUUCAUCUCAACACUCAAAGCAAAAAAUAGAUAGCAAAGACGAAUCUGAGGCAAGUCACACAAGAAGACUUNUGGUGGCUCUCGAAGGAAGUACCGUCGGCUCUAGGAGGCGCCAACGGUUCUUGGCAGUGCUGGUCGUAGACUCGNUGGUGAUGGCGACGCGGGGGUGGAAGGGAAGGCUCAACUNAGAGCGUCGACCCUAGCCUGGUGUCGGUAGCACCCUUACGGAGCCUUGGGGGUGACCAGCGUUGUCGCCGGCGGUUCUGGUGGUGAACGCUAUCGCGACCUAGGGUGGUGAGUUUCUUCUUGCGCGAAGAGAAGAAGGNGAAAGAGAGUCUGGUGUCAUGGUCGGCGAUGGCUCCGACAAUGGGUGUCAACGCCGUGGGCUGUAGAUGAUGGUGGCCGGUCANGGAAAGGUUGGUUCUGGCUGUGAGUGGCGAAGGUGAAAUCCCUAGCUUCUUUCGCUCAGAGAAGAAGGGGACCCUGGGUCUCAGGCGCUAAUUGCACAGAAUGGGGCAAUCUGAUGGAACCCCUAAUNUUUCAAAUUAGGUUAAGAAGCUUUGGGCUUGGCUGGUGGGCCGCCUUUUCUUUCUGGUACCACUGGCACUCCAAUUCGCACCCCCUACAGACAAAGGAAGAAAAAUGGCUUUGGGCCUGGCUAUUGGGCGCNUCCUCCCUGCCUGCCGCCACCACCGUUUCUCUAUUCGCACCUCCAUUCCCUUUCUGGCAAACAAUAAAAGAGGCCUUGGGCCUGGUCAGCAAAAUAUCCAGUGGCACCCCCCAAAUUGCACUGCUACACGCCUACCUUGGGCCUGAACCAAGAAAUUUCAUGCUGCACCCCUGUCUUACACCCCUGGCAGUCUCAACCUUGCUGUGCACCCCUGGUUUUUAAUUUCUGCACCUCACUCUUAUUGGGCUUGUUGGAUUGUUUUAUUUUUAUUGUCUUUGUUUUUAUUAUUAUUUUGG
RNAcentral lists this long non-coding RNA (1697 nucleotides) under Vigna radiata. RNAcentral describes it as "long non-coding RNA (VRAD_LNC004555)". Lineage: Eukaryota; Viridiplantae; Streptophyta; Magnoliopsida; Fabales; Fabaceae. The record is from RNAcentral.